RNAcentral lists this long non-coding RNA (425 nucleotides) under Dermacentor andersoni. RNAcentral describes it as "uncharacterized LOC126546541". Lineage: Eukaryota; Metazoa; Arthropoda; Arachnida; Ixodida; Ixodidae. The record is from RNAcentral.
GUUUACUAGAUGGCGGCCGCAUGUUAUGCCUUGAGAUGACCCACAUGGACGACAUCAGAUGACCUGGACGACGGGGAAGCACCGGCUGGAGCUAUUUCAUAAGUGACAUCACUGAUUUGUCGGGAGAAGCGGAUCUGGCAGCGCAUUGGGAGGGCCCUUGUGAGAUUCUGCUGCUGGGGACCUGUUUACCAAGACUUGGCACCUUCGUAGCGCCAUUCUACAGGCGCCUUGUGGGACUUCCGAACAACGCGUCAUGAACUAGGCCGAGAACCUCUAUGACCACAUCGUCGCUCCGCUGCCGUGUACGUCGGGGGAAGUGCCCUGUGUCCACCCGUUGUGGCAGUCAGUCGCGUGCAGCGCAGAUGCGCCGUUAUCUGCUCGUCAGCGAUUGUCGGGACCAUCGCUGCAUCCCUGGUGACACUGAU